CCUGCGUCGGAGCCUUGCUUGCUUUCCUUCAUUUUGUUCUCCACUUCGCCCACCACGACAACCACGACAACCACGACAACCAGUCAACACUGAUUUGCAAAGGUAGUUACAGAAAAAUAAAAUGGAAAGAAGGAAAAUAAAAUAAGGACCAAUAAAGUGAUGCAAUAGGUAAUUACAAUAUCCGGACCACACAACACACCACUAUGGGUGGUCCAUUCCCAGUAACUGCACAGAGCCUAGAGCAGACGUGUAAAUCAAAGAUGAAUUCAAUUAUCAUCUUUGCGUAAACAAGAGGUUCUCAACUGAUAAAAGUUGCUGCGCACAAGUUGAGUGUUCCAUUGUCUCCGGGUACCUACCUACUGCUUGCCUCACUAAACGUCUCCUAAGACCUUCAAGUCAAUUGUGUAACUCAUUUACUGCGUCGUCGGUUAAGGCCAAAACGCUAUAGUAUGACUAUUGUUGUUCAAAAAUCGAGCAUAACCAAUUCCUAUUUUGUUUGUUUUUACCAAAAUAUCAAGCUUUCCACUUAGAAAAAAAAUAUAUUUAGGUACCUUUCGAAUGCACUGACUAAAAUACAAAAUGACAUUUAAUUGUUACUUGAUGAAUCCAAGUUAAAUCGGCAACAAAUAUGAAAUCGUUAAAAACCGAGUAGUUAUGAGUGAUAGUUUCAAAAGGUUGCCAAAAACUUUGUGGUGUAUGGUUUUUCUUAUGAUUAUUGGAGAGUUUGAUGGAGACUGUUACACCUA
Long non-coding RNA from Plodia interpunctella (Indianmeal moth), 746 nucleotides. RefSeq lists it as uncharacterized. The record is from RefSeq and is a predicted model, not a curated record. NCBI's taxonomy places the organism in Eukaryota, Metazoa, Arthropoda, Insecta, Lepidoptera, Pyralidae. The transcript has 3 exons.